This 497-nucleotide ribosomal RNA is filed under the name uncultured bacterium. RNAcentral describes it as "partial 16S ribosomal RNA". It matches the Rfam family "Bacterial small subunit ribosomal RNA", at positions 28 to 507 of the family's 1533-position model. The record is from RNAcentral.
GAUGAACGCUGGCGGCGUGCCUAAUACAUGCAAGUCGAGCGAACAGACGAGGAGCUUGCUCCUCUGACGUUAGCGGCGGACGGGUGAGUAACACGUGGAUAACCUACCUAUAAGACUGGGAUAACUUCGGGAAACCGGAGCUAAUACCGGAUAAUAUAUUGAACCGCAUGGUUCAAUAGUGAAAGACGGUUUUGCUGUCACUUAUAGAUGGAUCCGCGCCGCAUUAGCUAGUUGGUAAGGUAACGGCUUACCAAGGCAACGAUGCGUAGCCGACCUGAGAGGGUGAUCGGCCACACUGGAACUGAGACACGGUCCAGACUCCUACGGGAGGCAGCAGUAGGGAAUCUUCCGCAAUGGGCGAAAGCCUGACGGAGCAACGCCGCGUGAGUGAUGAAGGUCUUCGGAUCGUAAAACUCUGUUAUUAGGGAAGAACAAAUGUAUAAGUAACUAUGCACGUCUUGACGGUACCUAAUCAGAAAGCCACGGCUAACUACGUG